Molecule: ribosomal RNA, 254 nt
Filed under: uncultured bacterium
Lineage: Bacteria
Also listed under: 1 other name
Description: partial 16S ribosomal RNA
Rfam family: Bacterial small subunit ribosomal RNA
Source: RNAcentral
UACGUAGGGGGCGAGCGUUGUCCGAAGUUACUGGGCGUAAAGCGCGCGUAGGCGGUCUAUUAAGUCUGAGGUGAAAGGUUCAGCGCUCAACGCGAACAGUGCCUUGGAUACUGGUAGACUUGAGUGUGGCAGAGGAGUAUGGAAUUCCUGGUGUAGCGGUGAAAUGCGUAGAUAUCAGGAGGAAUACCGAUGGCGAAGGCAGUACUCUGGGCUAACACUGACGCUGAGGUGCGAAAGCGUGGGGAGCAAACGGG